GUGACCGAUAGUGAACCAGUACCGUGAGGGAAAGGUGAAAAGCACCCCGGAAGGGGAGUGAAAUAGAACCUGAAACCGUGUGCUUACAAGUAGUCAGAGCCCGUUAAUGGGUGAUGGCGUGCCUUUUGUAGAAUGAACCGGCGAGUUACGAUUUGAUGCAAGGUUAAGCAGUAAAUGUGGAGCCGUAGCGAAAGCGAGUCUGAAUAGGGCGUUUAGUAUUUGGUCGUAGACCCGAAACCAGGUGAUCUACCCUUGGUCAGGUUGAAGUUCAGGUAACACUGAAUGGAGGACCGAACCGACUUACGUUGAAAAGUGAGCGGAUGAACUGAGGGUAGCGGAGAAAUUCCAAUCGAACCUGGAGAUAGCUGGUUCUCUCCGAAAUAGCUUUAGGGCUAGCCUCAAGUGAUGAUUAUUGGAGGUAGAGCACUGUUUGGACGAGGGGCCCCUCUCGGGUUACCGAAUUCAGACAAACUCCGAAUGCCAAUUAAUUUAACUUGGGAGUCAGAACAUGGGUGAUAAGGUCCGUGUUCGAAAGGGAAACAGCCCAGACCACCAGCUAAGGUCCCAAAAUAUAUGUUAAGUGGAAAAGGAUGUGGCGUUGCCCAGACAACUAGGAUGUUGGCUUAGAAGCAGCCAUCAUUUAAAGAGUGCGUAAUAGCUCACUAGUCGAGUGACACUGCGCCGAAAAUGUACCGGGGCUAAACAUAUUACCGAAGCUGUGGAUUGUCCUUUGGACAAUGGUAGGAGAGCGUUCUAAGGGCGUUGAAGCAUGAUCGUAAGGACAUGUGGAGCGCUUAGAAGUGAGAAUGCCGGUGUGAGUAGCGAAAGACGGGUGAGAAUCCCGUCCACCGAUUGACUAAGGUUUCCAGAGGAAGGCUCGUCCGCUCUGGGUUAGUCGGGUCCUAAGCUGAGGCCGACAGGCGUAGGCGAUGGAUAACAGGUUGAUAUUCCUGUACCACCUAUAAUCGUUUUAAUCGAUGGGGGGACGCAGUAGGAUAGGCGAAGCGUGCGAUUGGAUUGCACGUCUAAGCAGUAAGGCUGAGUAUUAGGCAAAUCCGGUACUCAUUAAGGCUGAGCUGUGAUGGGGAGAAGACAUUGUGUCUUCGAGUCGUUGAUUUCACACUGCCGAGAAAAGCCUCUAGAUAGAAAAUAGGUGCCCGUACCGCAAACCGACACAGGUAGUCAAGAUGAGAAUUCUAAGGUGAGCGAGCGAACUCUCGUUAAGGAACUCGGCAAAAUGACCCCGUAACUUCGGGAGAAGGGGUGCUCUUUAGGGUUAACGCCCAGAAGAGCCGCAGUGAAUAGGCCCAAGCGACUGUUUAUCAAAAACACAGGUCUCUGCUAAACCGUAAGGUGAUGUAUAGGGGCUGACGCCUGCCCGGUGCUGGAAGGUUAAGAGGAGUGGUUAGCUUCUGCGAAGCUACGAAUCGAAGCCCCAGUAAACGGCGGCCGUAACUAUAACGGUCCUAAGGUAGCGAAAUUCCUUGUCGGGUAAGUUCCGACCCGCACGAAAGGCGUAACGAUUUGGGCACUGUCUCAACGAGAGACUCGGUGAAAUCAUAGUACCUGUGAAGAUGCAGGUUACCCGCGACAGGACGGAAAGACCCCGUGGAGCUUUACUGUAGCCUGAUAUUGAAAUUCGGCACAGCUUGUACAGGAUAGGUAGGAGCCUUUGAAACGUGAGCGCUAGCUUACGUGGAGGCGCUGGUGGGAUACUACCCUAGCUGUGUUGGCUUUCUAACCCGCACCACUUAUCGUGGUGGGAGACAGUGUCAGGCGGGCAGUUUGACUGGGGCGGUCGCCUCCUAAAAGGUAACGGAGGCGCUCAAAGGUUCCCUCAGAAUGGUUGGAAAUCAUUCAUAGAGUGUAAAGGCAUAAGGGAGCUUGACUGCGAGACCUACAAGUCGAGCAGGGUCGAAAGACGGACUUAGUGAUCCGGUGGUUCCGCAUGGAAGGGCCAUCGCUCAACGGAUAAAAGCUACCCCGGGGAUAACAGGCUUAUCUCCCCCAAGAGUUCACAUCGACGGGGAGGUUUGGCACCUCGAUGUCGGCUCAUCGCAUCCUGGGGCUGUAGUCGGUCCCAAGGGUUGGGCUGUUCGCCCAUUAAAGCGGUACGCGAGCUGGGUUCAGAACGUCGUGAGACAGUUCGGUCCCUAUCCGUCGUGGGCGUAGGAAAUUUGAGAGGAGCUGUCCUUAGUACGAGAGGACCGGGAUGGACAUACCUCUGGUGUACCAGUUGUCGUGCCAACGGCAUAGCUGGGUAGCUAUGUGUGGACGGGAUAAGUGCUGAAAGCAUCUAAGCAUGAAGCCCCCCUCAAGAUGAGAUUUCCCAACUUCGGUUAUAAGAUCCCUCAAAGAUGAUGAGGUUAAUAGGUUCGAGGUGGAAGCAUGGUGACAUGUGGAGCUGACGAAUACUAA
This 2418-nucleotide ribosomal RNA is filed under the name Staphylococcus aureus. RNAcentral's name for it is "partial 23S ribosomal RNA". It matches the Rfam family "Bacterial large subunit ribosomal RNA", at positions 480 to 2904 of the family's 2925-position model. The record is from RNAcentral. Lineage: Bacteria; Bacillati; Bacillota; Bacilli; Caryophanales; Staphylococcaceae.